AAGGAAGCAGAGAAGGCAGCUCGUGGGUGAUCAGGGAAAGAAAGAAAGAAAGAAGAAGAAGAAGAGAAACAAAAAUUGGGGCUUUUGGGGUUCUUGCUUUAAUCUUUUCAUUGGGGGUCAAAAUUCUCAAAGGAUAGCGUAUCGCUUGCUUAAAUGUUAAGAAUGGGCUGAGGCAGUGGAAAGUUUAGAAGACGUUGGGCAGAACUUUUGUUAGCAUACAUGUAGUUGUGUAUAAGCUACCUUGCAUCUAAUGAAAUGUGACUAUGAAUCUAAACUUGUGGAUUUUGUGUAAGUUAAUGGAUCCCUCAUGUAUAGGGUUUUGGAAUGUUAAAUUAAAUUUGUGUAAUGAUAUGAAGUUAUGGUAAAUCGUUGUUUGUGGUGA
Molecule: long non-coding RNA, 382 nt
Organism: Musa acuminata AAA Group (dessert banana)
Lineage: Eukaryota; Viridiplantae; Streptophyta; Magnoliopsida; Zingiberales; Musaceae
Exons: 2
Source: RefSeq, a predicted model, not a curated record